AGGUCGUAACAAGGUUUCCGUAGGUGAACCUGCGGAAGGAUCAUUAAAAGUAAUUGGUUAUACAUAUCCUGUAUCAACUGCACAAACCAUUCCGCAGUACCUUGCCUGUUGCUUCCAUGGGGCCUGGACUUUGGUCACUCUUGUGAUGCGAAUCCCAAGACGAGUCCCAUGGGGGUAAUCAUUGAAAUUCAUAAUCCAAUGCUCUUCUGUCUGAAUGAUUAAAAAGCAAAAUGUUAAAA
RNAcentral lists this unclassified non-coding RNA (239 nucleotides) under plant metagenome. RNAcentral describes it as "partial contains small subunit ribosomal RNA and internal transcribed spacer 1". The stretch from base 1 to 46 matches the Rfam family "Eukaryotic small subunit ribosomal RNA", at positions 1786 to 1831 of the family's 1831-position model. The record is from RNAcentral.